GACGAACGCUGGCGGCGUGCUUAACACAUGCAAGUCGAACGGUGAAGGGAUCAGCUUGCUGGUUCUGGAUGAGUGGCGAACGGGUGAGUAACACGUGAGUAACCUGCCCCCUUCUUCUGGAUAACCGCAUGAAAGUGUGGCUAAUGCGGGAUAUUCUGGGUCUGUCGCAUGAUGGGUCUGGGAAAGAUAUUGUUUCGGUGGGGGAUGGGCUCGCGGCCUAUCAGCUUGUUGGUGGGGUGAUGGCCUACCAAGGCGGUGACGGGUAGCCGGCCUGAGAGGGGGGACGGUCACACUGGGACUGGGACACGGCCCAGACUCCUACGGGAGGCAGCAGUGGGGAAUAUUGCACAAGGGGCGCAAGCCUGAUGCAGCGACGCCGCGUGAGGGAUGGAGGCCUUCGGGUUGUAAGCCUCUUUCGCCAGUGAAGCAGGCCUGCUCCUUGUGGGUGGGUUGACGGUAGCUGGAUAAGAAGCGCCGGCUAACUACGUG
Molecule: ribosomal RNA, 489 nt
Filed under: uncultured bacterium
Lineage: Bacteria
Description: partial 16S ribosomal RNA
Rfam family: Bacterial small subunit ribosomal RNA
Source: RNAcentral